GUACUCGCUUCAGUAGCACAUAUACUAACAUUGAAAAGAUACAGAGAAGGUUAGCAUGGCCCCUGAGCAAGGAUGACACGUAAAUUCGGAAAGCGUUCCAUAUUUUU
Suncus etruscus (white-toothed pygmy shrew) is the source of this 107-nucleotide small nuclear RNA. Lineage: Eukaryota; Metazoa; Chordata; Mammalia; Eulipotyphla; Soricidae. The record is from RefSeq and is a predicted model, not a curated record.